UGGGGAAUAUUGCACAAUGGGCGAAAGCCUGAUGCAGCGACGCCGCGUGCGGGAUGAAGGCCUUCGGGUUGUAAACCGCUUUUAAUUGGGAGCAAGCGAGAGUGAGUGUACCUUUUGAAUAAGCACCGGCUAACUACGUGCCAGCAGCCGCGGUAAUACGUAGGGUGCAAGCGUUAUCCGGAAUUAUUGGGCGUAAAGAGCUCGUAGGCGGUUUGUCACGCCUGGUGUGAAAGUCCAUCGCUUAACGGUGGAUCUGCGCCGGGUACGGGCAGGCUAGAGUGCAGUAGGGGAGAUUGGAAUUCCCGGUGUAACGGUGGAAUGUGUAGAUAUCGGGAAGAACACCAAUGGCGAAGGCAGAUCUCUGGGCUGUUACUGACGCUGAGGAGCGAAAGCAUGGGGAGCGAACAGGAUUAGAUACCCGUGGUAGUC
This 429-nucleotide ribosomal RNA is filed under the name uncultured bacterium. RNAcentral's name for it is "partial 16S ribosomal RNA". It matches the Rfam family "Bacterial small subunit ribosomal RNA", at positions 355 to 795 of the family's 1533-position model. The record is from RNAcentral.